This is a small nucleolar RNA of Sarcophilus harrisii (Tasmanian devil), 69 nucleotides long. The record is from Ensembl. NCBI's taxonomy places the organism in Eukaryota, Metazoa, Chordata, Mammalia, Dasyuromorphia, Dasyuridae.
AGAGCUGUGAUGAACCCCAACAUGCCAUCUGAGUAAUGCUGCUGAAAAACAGAGGCUGUUUCUGAGCUG